Long non-coding RNA from Vitis riparia (riverbank grape), 3774 nucleotides. RefSeq lists it as uncharacterized. NCBI's taxonomy places the organism in Eukaryota, Viridiplantae, Streptophyta, Magnoliopsida, Vitales, Vitaceae. The record is from RefSeq and is a predicted model, not a curated record. The transcript is spliced from 2 exons.
CCAUGUGGGGAUCGACUAUAAGAAGGAAAGAAAAGAAAUAAAGGAGAGAAAGGAGAAAAGGAAGUAGGACUUUCCUUUUCAGCAAGAAGGUUUUUUUUUUGGAAAAGUGGGACUGGCAGCACGCAUAAAAGGAGAGGAGAUUCUUGGAUUUGCGAGGUAGAAAAGCGCAGAAGAGCAGAAGAAAGGCGAUUGCAAGCGAGGUUCUUCUAGGAUGUGCCAGAAUUUGAAAGCAAUCCGGGUCAUUCACCUUCAGUAACAGUUCUAAUUAGUUCUACAGAGGGAUGCAUGAAUCUGAAAGCGAGGAAAACAUUGACAGCGUUGAUUCAAAAAUUUUGAGGACUAGGGAAAGAGAAGGGUUCUAAGGACAAGGUCGUGAAACGUGAAAUAUGUGCAGUGGUCACAAAGGGAACACCAACUGAAGGCAAGAUGCUAUCAGCCAAUCCUGAUGUUUCUUAUCUUGUGGCGGUAACUGAAAGCUUUCAGUUUGAAGAACGCAGUUUUGGUGUUUGUGUAGUUGAUGUUGCUACACGCAGGAUUAUUCUUGGACAGUUCAGGGAUGAUUUAGAGUGCAACACCCUGUGUUGUCUAUUAUCUGAGCUAAGGCCUGUAGAGAUUAUAAAACUAGCUAACCUUCUCAGUCCUGAAACUGAGAGAGCACUGAUGAGACAUGCAAGAAGCCCCUUAGUAAAUGAACUGGUUCCGAUCUCAUAAUUCUGGGACUCUAAGAAAACUGUUUCUGAAAUCAGGAGUGUCUACAUAUGUUUCAAUGAUCUAUCAGUUUCUGGAUCUUUAAAUGAAGCAAAUUUGAGUGUUAAGGAUUCUUUUGUUGAAGAAGAUCCCUUGGGCCUACCUGACAUUUUGUCCAAGUUGGUGAAUGCAGGCGAGAGUGGCAGCCUUGCACUUUCAGCCCUUGGGGGCACUCUUUUCUAUCUAAAGCAGGCUUUUAUGGAUGAAACAUUGCUUAAAUUUGCUAAGUUUGAGUUAUUUCCGUACUCUGGUGUUAGUGAUAUCUUUCAUAAGCCAUACAUGGUUCUUAAUGCUGCUGCCCUGGAACCUUGAGAUUUUUUAGAACAGUAGAAAAUGAGACUCAUCAGGGACUCUCUAUGCACAACUAAAUCACUAUGUGACUACAUUUGGUAAGAGGUUGCUGAAGAUCUGGCUGCUGCUGAAACAACAAGCGCAGCUUCACAUGCUGCAGCUGCAUCGAAUUUACAGGCAGGGAGGUUACCUGGAAGGUAUGGAUUCAUCGAUGAAAGAACAAGGCAAACAAUUCCUGAAGCAGCUUCUGAUGGUUCAGUUGUCCUGGGAACUCCUAUAGCUCCUCCUGUAAAUGGUGAUAUGUAUACUGAUAUAAGCACUGAAAAUGCAAUGCUCCAGGGAUCCCGGAGACUGAGUAAAGGUGUUGAGUACUUGGUUGAGGCCUCAGCAGCCGAAGCUGAGGCUAUAAAUGCCACAUUAGCUGCUGCAAAAGCUCAGCAAGGUAAUGGAGAAGUUGAACUACCAGACCAGGACACACUUGAUUUAAUGGCCCACCCUUCAAUACACAUGAGGUUCAAACUGAUACAACAGAUAAAUCAGUCUCUGUACGGAAUAUUUCUAAUGAUUCCCUUGUAGUCUCUGAUGGGAAAAUGACAACCGGUGAAAACUCCGAACUAAUUAAGAACCUUCAGUUUGGAUUGACUUCUUUCCAGAACUUAUUGACAAGCAUCUCAAAUUUGGCAUCCAUAUCUUCGAAGCUGAGCAAUACUUCUCAAAUAAAUCAUUUUCCAGUAAUGGCAUAUUUUAAUUCGGAGUUCGGCUUGAAGAAUUUUCGUAUCCCUGAUUAUAUUCUUAUUCCAGAAUCAGAGGUCAGGUUAUUUCUUAUGUACUCGAGUGUCCAGUGAUAGUGUUCAUCAACUCCAAAAGCAGAGGAUCCAACAGGUAAGGGCAAUACGUAGUGAUUCAGAUGUGUAUUUCCUAGAUAAUCCCUUUGGUGUAGUAGAUGCACAUGUUGCUGUCGUUCUUCUAAGAGAAUUGAACUGAGUAGCAUACCGGCAUGUUGUUACGGCCCAUGAGCAUCAGAAGAACAUGAAUUCUCAUCAUCUACUCGUCGAGCAACCUCUACGCUCUCUAUAGGGCUGUUGGUUGAUACAAAUCUGGGAACAUCACCUCCUAACACUUAUAGACCACCCCUUGCACCAAUUCCAUAUGAUGUAGAUUUAAGACAUCCUCAAACUCCACCAGCUGCCGGAAAUGCCUUCAAUGUGAAUCUUAAGAUCCAUAUCUAGGAUCAGUUUUCUUUGUUCAUUCCCCGAGAUAUAUGAAAGUUUACAUGGCCGGUUUACAUUUGAUCAAAAGCUUAUCUGAACAGUACUUGAGUCACCUAUGCAGCCAUGCUGGACACUGAAAACUUUGAACUUGCAGGCCACAAUUCCACUUAUCCAUGGUAGAGUUUCAAUCAUUCAACAGAUACAAUACUACACUCCCAGAUGCUGAAUCCAGACAACAAACUUGUUGCUCGUUCCUCGGAGAUAAACCGCUCAAGUGGAAGAUCCAUGAUUAUAUUGCAUACUAACCAGAAUCCCGUGCUCUACACCGCUGAUUUCUCAAUGGAUUCUGCAAAUCCAUACUUCGAAUCAUAUAGCACAAGAAAGUUGCUUUGAUGCUCCUUCAAAAUUUUGUCUAAAAGAAUCUUCAAGCGAACCUUUGGUCUCAGAGUUUCCAUUGCAGUUAGCUAAAAAAAGAAAUUAGAGAGUCCUAAACCAGCAGUAGAUCCAUCAGAACCAAGUUCAGUUUAGAGAGGCCUGAUCCUGGCUUACCGACUUCAGAAGAAGGAUGGUUUGAAUCUGUUUUCACUCGUACAAACUGUUGAAGAUAUGACUUCAAGACACGCUCUUGCAUCCUUACAGAGAGAAUUGAUUCAACCUCUGGACCACUUAGCAUUGGAACUCGCUCUAGAAGAAAAUGAGCUUUAAAGCACUUGCCAAAAUUCAGAAGGGGCACCACACACAUACAGCUUGGAGAUGUUGCAACAGUCCGUAUAUUUAUUUGAAAAACUACAUCAGUGAAUUUCCCUAUGCGAGUUAAAGAAGAUCAGUUAGUACUACUGAAAAGGCAAAAGAUGAAGUUCGUGAUGAGCUGGAAAAUUUAGAUUCUGAACUACAGAAAAAUCCAGAAGUGCACUAUAAGAAGAUUGAUAAAUCAGAUGAACUUCUGAAUGAAGAUUUGAAACUUGAGAAUGAGUGGCAGCAAGUGGGCAUGUGCUCCGAAAAGAAUAUGGCCAGUUCUUCUCCAAACAUGCUAAUAAUGUACAAAGGUCUCUUCACACAACCAUCAGCAAUCCAGCUACAGCUAAACCUCCCAGGCUCCACUCCAUCAUAUCUACCUUGCUACACAUACCUCAUCCUCCUUUUGCUUCUUUGAUUGGGAAUUUAUUGUUUUAAAUUGAAUUUUUAAAUCCAUCUUUAGAGCCUUUCUAGCCACUAAAAAUCCAGAUUUUAAUAAAUAUGCUGCCACUUUCCUCCAGGCAUGCGUUUUUACUAUUUUAUUUUAUUUUCAACUAUUUUCAUGAUUUUCUCAAUUUUCAACAAGCACAAAUAAACUUCAUAGUUCCAAGUAAUGGGACUAAUUGAAAUCAAUUUGUGCAAAAGCAAUUUGGACCUUGGUAGAGGGGGUUCGAUAUUCUUGAUAUCUUCUUUGAUAUUGAUUCAAAUGAGGGGAUUGUUUGAUACUUGGUUGAUUUCAAUUGUUCCCUAUGAUAUAUAUGAGAAUUGUUUAUACUUGUUAUUAAGCUAA